ACAAAGGGGGACAUGUACUAGGCAGUAAAAAGCGUGGAGAUAGGAGCCAGUGGAGAAGUGACCAUGGCAGCCAAUCAGCAUUGAGGUUCUGCCUAAUGUUUAAAACAGCAAAGCUCAACCUCCCAACAUUCUAUUGCCUUAAACAACUGGUUAGAAUCCCGUAAGCGACUUCAAAGCGAAAAUGAGACAUCAGACACACUUUAGACCUGCUACACCUGUCAUGGGAUAGCUGGAAGAAAAAUGUAUUAAAAAGGUUGCCGUUCACUGAUGAAGAUAC
Molecule: long non-coding RNA, 277 nt
Organism: Pseudophryne corroboree (corroboree frog)
Lineage: Eukaryota; Metazoa; Chordata; Amphibia; Anura; Myobatrachidae
Exons: 3
Source: RefSeq, a predicted model, not a curated record